Oenanthe melanoleuca is the source of this 1835-nucleotide long non-coding RNA. RefSeq lists it as uncharacterized. The transcript has 3 exons. The record is from RefSeq and is a predicted model, not a curated record. Lineage: Eukaryota; Metazoa; Chordata; Aves; Passeriformes; Muscicapidae.
CAGAAGAGGAAAGGUCCAGUUCAGACUGGAUUUUAAGCAUGUACAUUCUUUCUCUCUUCACCACAUUGUUUUGCCUCUUUCCAAGAGUGCCACACCAUUCCAGGAGUAAGAACUUCUUUUUUGUUUCUGCAUCCUCAUUUCCUGCUGCUUCCAUCCUCUAAGGCUCCUUUAGGAUUUUUAGAAUUUUUCCAUUCAGGCUGGGAGAAUGCACUGAAUGAACAGAUGAUGGAGGAACUGAUGUGCAAGAAAAAUAGAGAAGGAAGCAAGAGAGAAAGAGAUGUGAAGAUAUGGAAAGAAGGAAGAAAACAUGUCCCUCUGUAUGCAGAGGCUCUAAGCAAAGAGGCAUCUCUGCCACUUUUAGAACAGGACAGAGACAUCCAAUGAGGAAGGUGAAGCACAUGGGUGAUUUUCAUCAGCAAUUAAGUCUCCCAGAGCUCCAGAUCAAGCAGCUGAACACCCAGGAUGGUGCUACCUGCACACGCAGUGGGUACAAGCUGAAGCUGGGUCUCUUCACACAGAUCUUACUCUGCAGCCAGAUCUGUGGCUCUGCAGAGCCUUCCAGGCACUGGAAUUCCACAUCCCUAUGUCCCCAGGGUUCAUCUCUACCCAGCUGAAGAUCAGAGCUUUAAUCUGCAAUUCUCUCAGGGCAUUUGUGAGCCUUUCCCUUUAGUCUUAUUUCCUGUCUGUAGAUUGACAUCAUGUGAAUGACACCAAUAACAAAUUUUUCUUCCUAGAGAACUUCAAGCAUGACUCUGGGGUCACCUUUUCCAUCCUUCUACUGUGUGUUUUUAUCCACAGAAUCCCAGAGGACUUUAUAAAUCAUGAGACAAAAGGGUUUUAUUUCUGGAGCCUUGUCCACAAAGCAGUAAACCUUGGAGUCUUUUUCCUUGUACUUGUCCAAAAAGACAUUUUUGAUCUGGUUUUAGUUAUUCUUGAGUCUAGGAUAAGGUCUUGGAUACUCCUAACAAAUUCCUCUCUUUCCUUGAUUUUAGUGUCCUUUGAAUACUUGUAGAGGUUUGCCAACCAAAUUCUGCAUAUUUAGAUUGUUUAAUUUUCUUAAUAUAGAUUGGAAAAAAAAACCUCAUCCAAAAGGCAGAAAUUUAUUCAGAAAAUUAAGUGCCUAUAAAAAUGUGCAGAGGGGAGAAAUCUGUCUGUGUCUGUGCCCUCAUAGACAAAGGCUCCAAAAUCAGCUGAUGUCAUGGUAAGGAGCAGAAAAUGUAUCUGGAAGCAAGUCUACAGGAAGAGGGAAUACUUUAUGGCUCAAUAGCAGAAGAGGCUUCAGUAAGACUUGAACACUAUAAAAGUAAGAAUGAUCAUAGCACAGCCACUUGUUCUAUUUUGUGUCUCCAGCAAUGAUGAAGAGCCUUGGGAAGAACCAGACCAAGCAGGCACUGUCAAUUCCCUAAAAGUGCUGCUCCAGAGCCAUUUGGCCCAGGUCACAGCUCCUGCUCCUACUCCUGCCAGGGAAAGGAUGCUAGCAAGUUCCAGCACGCUGAUACCUGCAUCACAAAUGUUAUGAAAGUUUUAAAACAAGACAAUUCCAGAUGAAGCAACACUGCCCUGCCUUGCAGAAUCAUUACCCAGAGGAAAAGCACACCACACCUAUUGUACAGUUUCUGUCUUCAGAAGCCUCUGCCAGGACUUCAGGGUGUUAUUUUCUCUCACUGUCUAUAGAACUGAGGAAUAUAAAAAAUAAGAAACUAGUUCUAUGUUAUGAAAAUGGAAACUCAAAACAAAAUGUAAAACAGCAUAAUGUAUUUAAGAUAGAAGAAAAAAAUCAAGCUUGUCAUAUGAAAUAGAAUUGUUCUAAAGCACUCACAUUUCCCUUUUUUUUU